AGGAACAGGUCAUAUCUUCCUUAUUCUGCCUCCACCCGCCAGCCCUUCAUCCUUAAAAACUGGCACAAUCCAGCCCCAUUCUCCAAUCCCGUUUAAGAAAACUUUUAAAUGCAAAUACAGAUGGGAUAUCCACAGAACUGGAGGUGACUGUUCAUCCGUUCUGCCCGAGGAUGUGACUUUGCAGCAGGGCAAGGAUCCUGGAACAGAGAUUCUCAGAGAGAAAAUAAAAUGUAGACGAACAUUUUCUUUAGUGACGGAAUUCCGUGCCCGUGGGGUUUUCCUAGGAGCUCACAGACACUCAUGAUGGAAGCUCUUAUCAAGAUGACUUGGGACAGAAUCCCUCUGAAAAUUAUUGGGAAAAGAAUUGGAAAUCUUGUGUCUAAGCUAGAAUGAAAGGGCCCAGCUGGGUCCUCCACCUAUGACAUCACAGAUGGGUGAGGCCCUGCGACUGGGUCCCAGAUAGUUCCUCUCGUUCCUGGGUCUCAGCCCAGCACCACCAGCCAAGGGUGAACAUGAGGCUCUGUGGACAUUCAGAUUGUUAAUUCAAAUGAUUUACUCAGGAAAGGAGCUGUGACCUAGGGCCUGACUUCUCCAGUGAUCAAUUCCCCAUCAUAUUUUCUGCAGGACUCAGAACAAGAAUAGCCCCAGCUGUCACGGUCUGCUAAGACUCUCCUCCUAGAGAGUGGUGGGGGCUGCAUGGGGAGUCAGAGGAACUCAGACCCUUACCUAGAGGCCCCAGGAGCUCCCCGGGCUGCAGGGUCUACUCUGGGAAGGCCCUUUCCUGGAAGGAACACAUGAACUCCAUGUGCCAGUGACUAGUGGUGGCCGGCAGGUGCCCAUCGGGGUUGCUUUUUGGAAAGAGAGCUGCUCCCCUUAACCACGGGACAGCUGGAGCUUGAAGGAUAGCUGCCCUGAAGCUGUGCAGAGAGAAGUUGUCCCAAAAGAAGGUGGCCUCCUUGCAACCCAACAUGACUCAGGACGAGCAAUGGGGUCAGCUGAAAGGUUUUUAGAAAUGCAAAAUCCGAGGUUUCACCCCAGAACUUCCCGGAAUCAGAAUCUGCAUUUUGAUAAGAUCCCAGGAGCACCCCCACCCCUGCUCAGUGUAUACCUGUAAGUCUGGGAAUCCUUGCCCUGAAGGAGGUACUGCUGCCCUCUCCUUGGCCAGGGCUGGGUUGCCUGGGAAUUUCAUUUGCCUUUUCAUUUCUUCAGUUCUCUGUCCAGUCUUUACAAAAAUUAGUGCCAUUUUUCUAUUUUAAACCAAUGUCACCUUGAUCAAAAGUUCACCCUGUACUGCCCUGGAUUCUGAGGGCAGCGUGGGAGGAGGCGGUGAAGGCAUCUAUAUUUUCCCUCCACUCAGAUAUUACAAGCACCUCAGGUGUCUGAAAUAUCUCAGCUCCCCCUGUGCAAAUUGCAGGCACUGAGCCGCAUAAGCCGGCGCGGAGCUGGCCCUUCAUCCCGGCAGGCGCUCAGCCUGCAGACACAGGGAGCUUUCCAGACAACGGGAGAGGCAGCCACUCUUUGUCCUUGGAGACGAGGGUGGGUCUGGGCUGCUGCCCCCUGUCAGCCCAGCUCUCCUCCUGCCCGAUCUAGGACCAAGGGCAGGGCACCCAGAGGAUAAUGAGUAAGUAGGCUGGACUGUCUGGGGUGGGGCAGCUGAGGAUUGCACCCAGACAGACAGGAACAGCUUUUCUUUCUAGAAGGAGGGCCAGGGGCAGUUUUGCAGCAGACUUCAGGGACUUCACCCUUUCAAUCCCCACAGCCAGGGACAGACUCAAUCUCAAUGCUUGCCACCCUGGAGGCACCCCUGUUUUAUCAAUACCACCUGCCUGCUUCCCAUAAAGCCAGCCCCGUUGUCCUCACCAGUAAGCAUGUCCUGUGAGGGGCACGUGCCUGGCCACUGGUGUCUGCUUCCCAGAGGCCAUGCCCUUUGACUGAGUAUCCACGGCCUUGGGAGACUCAGUCAUCAGUUUGAAUUCCAGGAAAAAAAAAAAGUGAGAGCACACACUGCUGUGUGCUCUCAAAGAAGUUGUUCAACCCCUCUGAGGCUUUGCUGUGCCCCUCCUACUUCACUUGUGUUAAAAAUAGAAGAGGAAGAAUGAUAAAAGAGUACCUGUAAUUUGCUGGGGAGAACUGACUGAGAUAACAUUUAGAAUAUGUGCAGCAGAGAGUCCUUUAACGUAUGUGUGAAAGGGAGUGUUGCCCUCAGUAUCUUCCUUUUGCAUCCUUUCUCCUGUUCCCCAGGCUCCUAUUGUAUUGCCCCUCCCUUCAUUCCUUAUUCUUCUACAAAUAACUCUCUGAACCUCAAACUGCACUUCAUUGUUAAUAAUUGCCUGAAUGCCCUCCUUGGAAACCCUUUGCUAGAUUACAACCAAAAAUGACGUCCUCCAUUAUUUUUGCAUUUUAAUAAAUCAAAGUUAAAGCACCA
This 2425-nucleotide long non-coding RNA is filed under the name Macaca mulatta (Rhesus monkey). RNAcentral describes it as "lncRNA (ENSMMUG00000051814.1)". Lineage: Eukaryota; Metazoa; Chordata; Mammalia; Primates; Cercopithecidae. The record is from RNAcentral.